This 913-nucleotide ribosomal RNA is filed under the name Cylindrocephalum aureum. RNAcentral's name for it is "partial large subunit ribosomal RNA". It matches the Rfam family "Eukaryotic large subunit ribosomal RNA", at positions 41 to 972 of the family's 3401-position model. The record is from RNAcentral. Lineage: Eukaryota; Fungi; Ascomycota; Leotiomycetes; Helotiales; Pezizellaceae.
UAUCAAUAAGCGGAGGAAAAGAAACCAACAGGGAUUGCCUCAGUAACGGCGAGUGAAGCGGCAACAGCUCAAAUUUGAAAUCUGGCUCUUUCAGGGUCCGAGUUGUAAUUUGUAGAAGAUGCUUCGGGUGUGGCUCCGGUCUAAGUUCCUUGGAACAGGACGUCAUAGAGGGUGAGAAUCCCGUAUGUGACUGGCUGCCUCCCCCAUGUGAAGCUCUUUCGACGAGUCGAGUUGUUUGGGAAUGCAGCUCAAAAUGGGUGGUAAAUUUCAUCUAAAGCUAAAUAUUGGCCAGAGACCGAUAGCGCACAAGUAGAGUGAUCGAAAGAUGAAAAGCACUUUGGAAAGAGAGUUAAACAGUACGUGAAAUUGUUGAAAGGGAAGCGCUUGCAAUCAGACUUGCGCGCGGUCGAUCAUCCGAUGUUCUCACCGGUGCACUCGACCGUGCUCAGGCCAGCAUCGGUUUCGGUGGUUGGAUAAAGGCCUUGGGAAUGUGGCUCUCUUCGGGGAGUGUUAUAGCCCUCGGUGCAAUGCAGCCUACCGGGACCGAGGACCGCGCUUCGGCUAGGAUGCUGGCGUAAUGGUUGUAAGCGACCCGUCUUGAAACACGGACCAAGGAGUCUAACAUCUAUGCGAGUGUUUGGGUGUCAAACCCAUACGCGUAAUGAAAGUGAACGGAGGUGAGAACCCUUAAGGGUGCAUCAUCGACCGAUCCUGAUGUCUUCGGAUGGAUUUGAGUAAGAGCAUAGCUGUUGGGACCCGAAAGAUGGUGAACUAUGCCUGAAUAGGGUGAAGCCAGAGGAAACUCUGGUGGAGGCUCGCAGCGGUUCUGACGUGCAAAUCGAUCGUCAAAUUUGGGUAUAGGGGCGAAAGACUAAUCGAACCAUCUAGUAGCUGGUUCCUGCCGAAGUUCCCC